This 326-nucleotide transfer-messenger RNA is filed under the name Rhodospirillales bacterium. It matches the Rfam family "Alphaproteobacteria transfer-messenger RNA". Rfam says of the family: Bacterial tmRNA, also known as 10Sa RNA or SsrA, is named for its dual tRNA and mRNA-like properties. Its role is to liberate the mRNA from a stalled ribosome. The record is from RNAcentral. Lineage: Bacteria; Pseudomonadati; Pseudomonadota; Alphaproteobacteria; Rhodospirillales.
CCCCUUUAAUGACGUUUGAUCUGGCCCUAUAUUGAUGGUGUCGGGUAACCGACUAUAACGAUAAACACUAUGCGGAAUAAUCGUUGCGGACCCGGGGGCAGUGCCCGGCGCCUCCACCAAAAUUCCCGAACCCCUUUAUCAGGGGUUUGCAAUGGGGGCGAAACAGGAUCGACGUACGUGGUAAAGGCAUAACUUUCGUUCGGCAUGGUAUCCACCGUUAUCGGGCCAAUCAGAGAAAUGCCAACGAUAAUGAGGCAUUUGCAGUAGCAGCCUAACGGCUCUUACUACGGGGUUCGGGGGGCACCUGGCAACAGAAGCCCCCCACU